Cloeon dipterum is the source of this 541-nucleotide long non-coding RNA. RefSeq lists it as uncharacterized. The transcript is spliced from 5 exons. Lineage: Eukaryota; Metazoa; Arthropoda; Insecta; Ephemeroptera; Baetidae. The record is from RefSeq and is a predicted model, not a curated record.
AUGGAUCAGUGCUAACUGCUACACUGUGUAACAAUAAGCAAUAUUAUGUUUCAAACGUUGUGGCGACGAGAAAUGAAGCAGCGUUGCGCUGCAAGUCGAUGAAUAUGACGCUCUUGACCGUCGCUUCCUUGGAGGAAAUGGACUGUCUCGCCGCUGUUAAAGUCGGAACUUUCUGGACAAGUGGUUCCAACGAAGAUCUGAAAUGCGACUUGGAAAAGAAGUACGCUUGGUGCUCCACGGGAUUCAACGUCUCUACAACUUUGACUUCGUCUAAGAAUUAUUGGCUUCCAACCACCGCUGCUCCUUCCACUUUGGAACGAUGUUUGGCCGUUGUCACGUCAGCUCAGAAUAAGGGGAUGGUGCACAGAAAAUGCGAUGACACCCUACACUACGUCUGCCAGUUUAAUGUUGACUGUCCGAAGAUUUGCAACAAAAACGAUUCUCUAUUUGACUCUUCUGGGAAACUUAUUAAUGAAACCUCAUACGGAUUUUGGAUCGACAUUGGCAACUACACCUAUCUUUUGGGAAACAAGCCGGUUUU